Long non-coding RNA from Cicer arietinum (chickpea), 452 nucleotides. RefSeq lists it as uncharacterized. The record is from RefSeq and is a predicted model, not a curated record. NCBI's taxonomy places the organism in Eukaryota, Viridiplantae, Streptophyta, Magnoliopsida, Fabales, Fabaceae.
AAAAAUUAUUUCUCUAAACUUUUUCUUUACUAUCUUGAAGUUUGUGGUGAUAUUGUGUUUACUUCGAAGAGUUCUCAGCCCUGUGAAAACUUCAAGUCAGACACUACCCGACAUCAAAUCAAACUACAUAUCGACCAACUAUGCCAACAACUGGCUUGAUCAGACGAGAUUUAAAUCAACUUCAACCAGUUAUGGCUCCUCCUUCGACUAGUGGUAUUGUAAUUGAAGAUGCAAUCCAAUUUCAAACCAUGAUGUCUCCUCCAGCACAAAUUAAUAAUACUUUUGAGGGACUUCAGUCGUCGGGUAACAUUCCAACAAAUAAUUAUGAUGGUGAGAGUGGAGCUGAUCAAAGGAAUUAUUAUGAGAAUUGAUGAAUUUGAAUAAUUUCAUAAUUUUAUUUUUGAUCUGUAUGAACACAUUUAUCUUGUCUUAGUUAAUUAUUGUGUGUUUAA